Molecule: long non-coding RNA, 815 nt
Filed under: Vulpes vulpes (red fox)
Lineage: Eukaryota; Metazoa; Chordata; Mammalia; Carnivora; Canidae
Description: lncRNA (ENSVVUG00000009793.1)
Source: RNAcentral
CUGAGGCAGGUUUUCGUUAUUCUAUUAGUACGCAAAUCUUAAAACAUUAGAUAUCACACUGAGAUCAGCUGGGGAUCAGCAGCCAUGCACAAUGGUGUGACCAAUUAAAAACUGAUCCUCUUGGGCUGGAGGCUGACCAUCCUGAGUUUAGAUUCGGUGUGACACACUAGAUCCAAGGCAGCAAAGAGGCUCGCAUAUGAUUAAAACGCUGUUGUCUCCUUCUAUAACCUACCCACCCUAACCCAACAGGCAUAUUUUCUGAUCUUUUGUCUCAGCACAAGAGCCCAAAGAGGUCUUUGUAUCCAGCUCUGACGUUAUGCCGAUGACAUCCUUGAGAGGUAGAAAAUAUUUGCUUCAUUGGCCUUUUGGUGUUCUUUUUUAACAGGUGUACCAUAUAUAAACUGCUUCAUUCCUUGUUGAAAAAAAGAAGUGUGAAAGGACAAUAGGUGUAUAUGAGAGGUGACAUCAAGGAGGGAGAGAGAGUACUGGCCUCCUUCCAAAGUACUCCUAGGACUUGGAGGGAAAUUGUAUGUGGAAUAUUCUUUCCAAUAUUGGUGGUGUGGCUCCUGUAUAAUUUGCCAGAUGAAAAUCAGGUGCACAUCUCUUCUGUCAAGAUAGAGACCAAUAUUUUCAGGGAAAAGUCAGAGAGAGGCAUCAGGAGGCAUGAAGCAUACUGGCAUGAGGCCUGCAGUGGACAAACACACAGAUCUUCAUCACUACAAAAAAGAUGCCUUGAUUUUCUCCCAUCCCAUCAAGCCAAACCUCAGAGGACCGCAGGAGGGAGAACUUACUUCUUCCUGCCAGCAAUGAACUAA